UUGAGCACUAUAAUUUUCAUAUAAUGUAUAUCCUCAUCCAUCUUCAUAUGAAAACAUUGUGAUUAUUUGUCGAAAUAGAGAUAGAUACAUCUUCAAUGGAUGUCGUUUCUUGAUCAUAGAAUACUCUGGAAAUUACCAUAUUAAUUUCAGCAGUAUUUACAGAGGCAAUCUGUGAUUUGCAGUAAAAGUGGUGUCCAGUGUACUACCACAUAAGAUGAAUAGCUUGAUGGAUGAGUACUGUCCCUAUAUUUUAGUUGGUGCUAGUGUACUCAUCAUCAAUUGAGCGGGAGCUAACUGUACAUUGGACCCAACAAUAUAUCUCCCC
RNAcentral lists this long non-coding RNA (325 nucleotides) under Oryza brachyantha (malo sina). Its description in RNAcentral is "long non-coding RNA (OBRA_LNC001955)". The record is from RNAcentral. Lineage: Eukaryota; Viridiplantae; Streptophyta; Magnoliopsida; Poales; Poaceae.